CCUACGGGCGACAGCAGUCGAGAAUCAUUCACAAUGGGGGAAACCCUGAUGGUGCGACGCCGCGUGGGGGAAUGAAGGUCUUCGGAUUGUAAACCCCUGUCAUGUGGGAGCAAAUUAAAAAGAUAGUACCACAAUAGGAAGAGACGGCUAACUCUGUGCCAGCAGCCGCGGUAAUACAGAGGUCUCAAGCGUUGUUCGGAAUCACUGGGCGUAAGGCGUGCGUAGGCUGUUUCGUAAGUCGUGUGUGAAAGGCGCGGGCUCAACCCGCGGACGGCACAUGAUACUGCGAGACUAGAGUAAUGGAGGGGGAACCGGAAUUCUCGGUGUAGCAGUGAAAUGCGUAGAGAUCGAGAGGAACACUCGUGGCGAAGGCGGGUUCCUGGACAUUAACUGACGCUGAGGCACGAAGGCCAGGGGAGCGAAAGGGAUUAGAUACCCCUGUAGUC
This 446-nucleotide ribosomal RNA is filed under the name uncultured bacterium. RNAcentral's name for it is "partial 16S ribosomal RNA". It matches the Rfam family "Bacterial small subunit ribosomal RNA", at positions 338 to 795 of the family's 1533-position model. The record is from RNAcentral.